GGAGGAGGCGAGCGUUGUUCGGAAUCACUGGGCUUAAGGCGGGUGUAGGCGGGGUGGAAGGUGUCCUGUGAAAGCCCACGGCUCAACCGAGGAAUUGCAGGGCAAACCACCACUCUUGAGGCAGGUAGGGGCAAGUGGAACCAUGGGUGGAGCGGUGAAAUGCGUAGAUAUCUAUGGGAACGCCGGUGGCGAAAGCGGCUUGCUGGGCCUGUUCUGACGCUGAGACCCGAAAGCGUGGGUAGCAAACAGGAUUAGAUACCCUGGUAGUCCACGCCGUAAACGAUGCGCACUAGGUACGAGGGCUCUGACUGCUUUCGUGCCGAAGCAAAAGUGUUAAGUGCGCGCCCUGGGGAGUACGGCCGCAAGGCUA
RNAcentral lists this ribosomal RNA (370 nucleotides) under uncultured organism. RNAcentral's name for it is "partial 16S ribosomal RNA". It matches the Rfam family "Bacterial small subunit ribosomal RNA", at positions 527 to 896 of the family's 1533-position model. The record is from RNAcentral.